CGGUGGAUGAUGUGGAUUAAUUCGAUGCAACGCGAAGAACCUUACUACCCUUGACAUGUCCGGAACUUGCCAGAGAUGGCUUGGUGCCCGAAAGGGAAUCGGAACACAGGUGCUGCAUGGCUGUCGUCAGCUCGUGUCGUGAGAUGUUGGGUUAAGUCCCGCAACGAGCGCAACCCUUAUCAUUAGUUGCUACGCAAGGGCACUCUAAUGAGACUGCCGGUGACAAACCGGAGGAAGUGGGGAUGACGUCAAGUCCUCAUGGCCCUUAUGGGUAGGGCUUCACACGUCAUACAAUGGUCGGUACAGAGGGUUGCCAAGCCGCGAGGCGGAGCCAAUCCCACAAAGCCGAUCGUAGUCCGGAUUGUUCUCUGCAACUCGAGAGCAUGAAGUCGGAAUCGCUAGUAAUCGCAGGUCAGCAUACUGCGGUGAAUACGUUCCCGGGUCUU
RNAcentral lists this ribosomal RNA (446 nucleotides) under uncultured Thiobacillus sp. RNAcentral's name for it is "bacterial SSU rRNA". It matches the Rfam family "Bacterial small subunit ribosomal RNA", at positions 930 to 1382 of the family's 1533-position model. The record is from RNAcentral. Lineage: Bacteria; Pseudomonadati; Pseudomonadota; Betaproteobacteria; Nitrosomonadales; Thiobacillaceae.